GUUGUAUGGUUAAGUGACUAAGCGUACACGGUGGAUGCCUUGGCAGUCAGAGGCGAUGAAAGGCGUAAUAACUUGCGAUAAGCCCAGAUUAGGUAGUAAUAACCUUUUGAGUCUGGGAUUCCUGAAUGGGGAAACCCACUUGCAUAAGCAAGUAUCCUGUUGUGAAUACAUAGCAACAGGAGGCAAACCGGGGGAACUGAAACAUCUAAGUACCCCGAGGAAGAGAAAUCAACCGAGAUUCCGAAAGUAGCGGCGAGCGAAAUUGGAUUAGCCCUUAAGCUUUUAAUGAUGCAGGUGAAGAGUCUGGAAAGUCUCGCAAUAAAGGG
RNAcentral lists this ribosomal RNA (326 nucleotides) under Vibrio splendidus. RNAcentral's name for it is "bacterial LSU rRNA". It matches the Rfam family "Bacterial large subunit ribosomal RNA", at positions 1 to 364 of the family's 2925-position model. The record is from RNAcentral. Lineage: Bacteria; Pseudomonadati; Pseudomonadota; Gammaproteobacteria; Vibrionales; Vibrionaceae.